This 468-nucleotide ribosomal RNA is filed under the name uncultured bacterium. Its description in RNAcentral is "partial 16S ribosomal RNA". It matches the Rfam family "Bacterial small subunit ribosomal RNA", at positions 28 to 507 of the family's 1533-position model. The record is from RNAcentral.
GACGAACGCUGGCGGCGUGCUUAACACAUGCCAGUCGAACGGAAAGGCCCUGCUUUUGUGGGGUGCUCGAGUGGCGAACGGGUGAGUAACACGUGAGUAACCUGCCCUUGACUUUGGGAUAACUUCAGGAAACUGGGGCUAAUACCGGAUAGGAGCUCCUGCUGCAUGGUGGGGGUUGGAAAGUUUCGGCGGUUGGGGAUGGACUCGCGGCUUAUCAGCUUGUUGGUGGGGUAGUGGCUUACCAAGGCUUUGACGGGUAGCCGGCCUGAGAGGGUGACCGGCGACAUUGGGACUGAGAUACGGCCCAGACUCCUACGGGAGGCAGCAGUGGGGAAUAUUGCACAAUGGGCGGAAGCCUGAUGCAGCGACGCCGCGUGCGGGAUGACGGCCUUCGGGUUGUAAACCGCUUUCGCCUGUGACGAAGCGUGAGUGACGGUAAUGGGUAAAGAAGCACCGGCUAACUACGUG